GCGAAGGUGGCGGAAUUGGUAGACGCGCUAGCUUCAGGUGUUAGUGUCCUUACGGACGUGGGGGUUCAACUCCCCCUCCUCGCACCA
This 87-nucleotide transfer RNA is filed under the name Salmonella enterica. RNAcentral's name for it is "tRNA-Leu". It matches the Rfam family "tRNA". From Rfam's summary of the family: Transfer RNA (tRNA) molecules are approximately 80 nucleotides in length. Their secondary structure includes four short double-helical elements and three loops (D, anti-codon, and T loops). The record is from RNAcentral. Lineage: Bacteria; Pseudomonadati; Pseudomonadota; Gammaproteobacteria; Enterobacterales; Enterobacteriaceae.